RNAcentral lists this long non-coding RNA (1035 nucleotides) under Mus spicilegus (steppe mouse). RNAcentral's name for it is "lncRNA (ENSMSIG00000024023.1)". Lineage: Eukaryota; Metazoa; Chordata; Mammalia; Rodentia; Muridae. The record is from RNAcentral.
CUCACAGCGGCUGGCGGGGCCACACUCCAGCCCGCAGCUGCCCUGGUCCUUCGCCGAGCUGCUGCCGCCCGCGCGGUACGCGCCGCUGGAGCUAGGGUGGACCUUGGUGCCCCGCUCCUGCGGCCGGGCAUUCGGGAAAGUUGCGGGGCCGAGGAGACUGCUAGAGGCGGGGGCGUGGGCCUGGCAGCCCGCGGGGAGGUGAGCCGAGGACAGCGCCGCCCGCAGCCAGGAGCAGGGGCGGGCGCGGAGGUGGCGGGGGACACAAGGUGUCAGCUCCGGCAGCGGCGCCUUGUUCCGCGGAACGCGCAUCCCUGCGCCCCGCAGGCCCUCCUCCCUACCCUCUUGGCCCCAGGCCGACCCUCCUGCUACCCGGGGAAACCCGACUCGCCGCCACGGGGUCUUCGCCCACCGCCCGGGUCGCCUCGUGCGCGCCGCAGCUCCCGGGAAGGGCGCGCGACCCCGGAGAGCGCGCGCCGCCCCCGCGCCCCGCUGUGUCCAGCUGCGCCCCAGCCCCACGCGCGACCCUCCCCGCCCCCGCGCGCCCUGGGGUCACGGCUCUUACCGCGCGCCCCGCGCUCCAGCCGCCGCCGUCCUCCGCGCGGCCGCCGCUGCCCACGCGCCUCCCGGGCCCAGUCGGCGUGGCCGGGUACGCGGCGGCCGAGGUCCCCGCAGGUCCCGCCGCCGCCGCCGCAGACGGUUAUGGAAAUGAGCCGAUGUGUCUGGCGAGGAGCGCGAGAAACCCGUCAAUCCUGUUUGCCAUUUCCCCGCGGAUUUCCGAGCCCGGCUCUGCUGGAUGCCCCCGGGGCGAGAGGGAACCUGACAAGCGCGCUCCCCGCCUCCCUCCGCUCUGCCAGAUCGCGGGGCGCCGCGCCCCCGCCCGCCCUGCCUCCGCCCCCGCUCCGCCUCCGCCCUCGGGGCCGCGCGGGCCGCUCCCGCCCGCAGCCCGGACCCCACGCGCGCAGCCCGCGGGAGGCAGGGGCUGCAACGCACGAAGCGUUCAUCGCAACCUGCCCAGACGUCUUGUCUAUUUUUUAA